This 248-nucleotide long non-coding RNA is filed under the name Brassica napus (rape). RNAcentral describes it as "long non-coding RNA (BNAP_LNC017685)". The record is from RNAcentral. Lineage: Eukaryota; Viridiplantae; Streptophyta; Magnoliopsida; Brassicales; Brassicaceae.
GGAUUUCCUUUCUUUGUAAUCUUUCCAUAUUAUGUAUUAGUAGUCUUUCCUAAUCCUAGGUGGUUUAGGUUUUGGAUACUUUCAUUUUUAUUUAUCUUGUAAUCCUCUAUAUAAAGUGAACACUUAUUCAUUAAUGAAAUACAGAAACAUUCAUCUCUAAAACCUAUUGUUUCACAACAUCUAUCAAUUGAUUUUUGUUUUCAACAGCCAUUUUUAAAAGGGAAUUGGGCUCAAUAACACAAAAAAAA